AUACCCACUUGUAUCAUUCAACUUCAGUCCAACUAAUCCAACAUUUUCAAAAUUAGAUUUAGUUUAUGGGCAUACUGCACACUCGUCUAUGUCUAGAGAAUGUACACAUACAAUUGAGAAAUAAAAACAAUUGAAUGAAACUGUAGAUUAAACUAAAUAUAUGCUUCAACCAUUAAAGAAAGUAAAAGUUUUCAUCAUGUAAUCCCAACCCUAUGAGAUUUAGCUCAUGAGUUGACAAUUAAAAUUCAAGUUCAAAAUAACACUCAACAUCGAUUUGAUCAAUUCAAUUUAUAGGAGAAGAAAUUAAGAAAUUAUAGAAGAACUUAGGAAGACGGUUGUCGCCAAAUCAAUCAUCAAUCCAGCAGUAUAGUGUCCUAUGGUGACUGAAAGGGACUGCCUUCGAUCUCCUCUUUUUGUCUCUACUCAGCUGCUACCCUCUAUUGUUGCCUACGGAUCUCCACACCUUUAGGGUUUCCUCCUUUGGCUUUUUAUAAGCUUUUCUUCCUAGGGCAACUCUAACAGCCCACGAUAUCUUCUCCUAUUUUUUAGCUAGAUUUUUCUAGUAUAAGUAGAGUUGGGCUGAAACUGGUCUACGAUGAGUGUUGACUCGGUCAUCUUCUUGAAAUUGCCACGGUAUACAAAGUGGCAAAUUGUCCAAUCUUUUGCCCUAGCAAACCAUCACUCAUUUAUUUUUUUUCUCCCUAUCCUGUACCUACUAAACCACCAAACACAACCUUUCUACACACAAUUAAAUGUAUCUAGCAUGUAAACACAGUCCAAGCUCCUAAUGAAAUGAUAAAAAUACUAAUAAAAUGUCCUAAAAUGCCACUAAAUGUACUCAAGUACAAGCAAUUAGCUAGGUCUAAGGGCAAGAAAUAUAACUCUUUUCAAGAGUUAUCAUGUAGCGACACCAUUGCCUUACGGGAAGAAAUUAGCUGCAGGGGUAGUCUUUUAUCCAACACCAUUCCCAAUCACAACACAGCUUCUAAGGGUAUUCUUGUCAACUUUUUUUUAUUGUAUUUAGAUGUUAAAAACCAUUUUUGGCUGAUAACUAAAGAGAUAACCUUUUGUCUUUAAUUUUUUUUUCAUCUUUUAAGCUUCGUAGUUAGUCUUCUUCAUCUUUUCUAGGGUUUAGUCUUUAGCUUUUCUGGUUUUAGUUGGUAGUUUAGUUAGUUUUUAUUGUAGCUUUGUCUUAAUUGCAAUUUAGUACUCAAAAGUCUCUUUGUAAUUUCAUUUUAAUCCAUAGUUGUUAAUAUAGCUUAGUUCCAUUUUUCUUUUCAUAGUUAAAAAUCUUAACUUUAUUGGUAUUGUCCACCACCAUUGUUGCUAUUAUCAUCUUCUUCAAGCAACUGUCAAGAAAUCACUAAGUUUUUUUUAACCCUAUUUUUUAUGCUUAUUUGAAUGUAUGCUUUGAAUGCAUGUUGAGUUGUUGCUUGUGUGAGAAUGAUGUUAAGUAAAUAAAUCUUUGGUGGUUCGAUGAUGAAAAUGUUGCUUGAUUAGUUUUUGGUAUAGGGACUAAAUCGUAAAAACUGGACUAAAUCAAAUAAACUUCAAACUUAAAAUUGACGCAUUUAGGUGAAUAUUUAGAUAGGUAAGACUGAGAGGAGAUCCUAUUGAGUGCUAAUUUGGUUGUCCUGAGUUAGUUUGGUGACGUCGAGAGAUAAACUAGACUAAAUCAUCUAAUUUGGUAAAAUUGUAAACGAAAAGUAAAACUGAGCCAAUUAGAAGUUUAAGCUUUUUAGGUCUCCCUAAUCAAAAGACUAAUUGGCAACACGGAAGUCAACCAACCACAACUUUUGUUUAUUGAAUUUUUAAUUGCUUAGUUUUAACUAUUUUACAAUUUGGUUCUUUUUAGUGUAGGUAGGCAAUUAGUGUAAUUUAAACUCGAUUGUGAAUUGUCGUAAUAUAGCCCUCAGUGAGUAGUUAGUUAGCCUUCUUGUUUGCAUGUUUGUUACUUAGGAAUCACUUUGUACCCGAACUCUCUUGGUUUCGAUCCUUGGAAUACUCGGGUGUUCCAUUGUAACAUAACAAAUAUUACAACUCGACCUGUUACACUUGUAGUAAACUGUUAAAUUAUAAUUGUAUUUCUAUUGAUUCAUAGCUCCAGUGCAUGCAUGUCGUGAUGUGAUCAAGUUGUUGGCACUGAUUCUAGGGAGUUUGUGUGUGAUUGAGUGAUUUAAGUGAUGAAUGCAUGUUUAUUAGGAAGAUAAUUAGCCAAAAGUUAGGUCUAUAGAUACGACGCUCUUCUUUCUUGCGUUUGAUUCUUUAUUUUCUUUGCUAAGUGUUCUUAUAUUCGUUAGUUUUUUUUAUGAUUGCAUCGUUGAUGUGUGACUCGAGGUGAUAACCAGUUAGUCCCAUUUGACCUUAAGCAGAAAAGGUUGAUAACGAAUGCUCGAAGGAUCCAACUUUCAAGGGAAACCCCACCAUCAAUAGAACCACUGAUUAUCGAUCCUUUGAUCGACAAUUCUAGAUUCAAGGAACCUCCAUUAGAUCUUCCUAACAUCGAGGAGUGUGCACGUCCCUUCCGCCCACGGUAAAUAGAGCAAUGGAUGUUGCAAGAUUAUGCCAUGCUGAACUUGGACGUGGUGUGAGGGAGCAUAAUGUUAGAGUAUGCCGAAAGAUCAAUCAUGAGAUGGUUGUAAUAAUAUACUUGAUUUAUCAUGUUUAUUAAUAUAAGGCGUUACCAUUAUUAUUUCAGUUUCUUUUCUGUGUAUAUAAAUAAACUAUUUUAUAAUAAUGUCCUGAGAAUAAUAUGAUUAUUCUUAAAAGUUCCUUAGUCAAGUAUUAUUGUUGGAUAGGACAACGAUAAUGCAUUAAGACUAACAUGUAGUUGAUUGAUGAUAAAGAGUUGUCAUUGAUAUGGAAUGUCAGAAUCAUUACAUGAAUAUGUGUGUUAGAGAACAACAUAUUGGACUGACCCAUUAUGAGUAUGUUUCUUGGAUUAUUAUGUAAUUGUCACGACAUUACUCAUAAUGAUUAAUAUUUAUAUGAUCCUCAGACUUGACAUCAUCAUAAUCCCAACAUCGUGAGUUGUAUAUUUUGAUACAGUCAAAUGUACACCGUAACUGGUUGUUCUAUAAAGACUGAUGUUGGAUAUACCACAAUCUAUGUAGAGGGAUAAGGUUGGUCGAUCUAGGAUAAGUCCCUCCUACAUAAUAGGAGUAAUAUCUUAGGCCACUUGAUUAAGUGAGACUAGAAAUGCAUGGUCAUCUCAAAUAAGUUGAUAUUAGAUGUCAUACUUAUUUGUAUAUCAUAGUCUGCUUAAGAUAUCAAUGAACAUGGAAUGGACAAUGCAAGUGUGACUAUUCCAUGACUUGUGUCCAAUCCAGAGAUAACAGACUUAAAGAUUAUUGCAUAAAAGGUUAAUCAUAAAAAAAAGGUUAUGUCGAAUCAUGAUCUCUUGUGACUUAGGUAGCAAUGAUGCAUUGCUAGAUGCCACUCAUUGUUUGUAGCAUUAGAAUCAUUCUAGUGUUACUGCUAACGUUACAGGAACCUACAGGGUCACACCCUAUAGUUGAAAUGAACGGAAUAAACCAUAGUUGGUAUUGUUUUUGGGGUCGCUUGAAUUAAAUUAAUUAUAGAAUUAAUUUAAUUCGGUAAUCAAAUUUCCAACACAUUAUGUACAAGGUUGUUGUAUGUAUAAUGAGGACAUGAAUUUGGUUAGCAUAAGAAUUCAAAUAAAUAUAUGGUUUACCGAACUUAUAUUAUAAUUAAUGUAAUUAUAAUUUUCGGUAUAAAAAUAUUAUUAUAUUUAUUUAAUUCCUAAGAACCCUAAAACAAAAAGAUAUAUAUAAUCCCGUUUUUCUUUGUUUGAGCCUAGCAACCGUAAAAAAAAAACUCUCAAAACUGUUUUAGGGAUUCCUUCCAUUCGUAGUCAACUGGGUGGAUUACGUAGAGGCCGGGAUCACGAUAGAUUGCGGCUUGGUUCGACAGCAGAUCAGACUACUCGUUGUUGAGGUGUUGCUGUCUACUCUGAAUAAACAUUAGGUAAUUUCGUAACCUUGAUCACCCCGAUUCGUUCCUCACACAUGGAUCCAUGGUUAGGGUCGUCGAUUUUAUUUUUUUUUCGCUGCGCCGUAGGGGUGCCGGCGAUCCAACACAUAAACCUUUCUACUAUCAACACAAACAAAUUUGAGAUAAAGCCAACAGUGAUACAAAUAAUUCAAAACAACCGCCAAUCUAGGGGCUCUAUGAAUGAAAACCCUAACCAACACCUCAAACGCUUCCUUACACUUUAUGACACUUUCAAGUAUAAUGGUGUAUCCGAUGACGUUAUAUGUCUUCAGUUGUUUCUUUUCUCUUUAUAUGACGAUGCGUUUAUAUGGUUGGAUUCCCAGUCAGUGGGCUCAAUCAACACGUAGGAUGAGCUUGGCAACUAGUUACUUGAUAAGUACUUUCCCUUGAGAAACACGAUGAAGUUGCAAAUGGAUAUCACCAACUUCUGACAACUAGAAGGGGAGUCACUAUAUGAAAUGUGAUAGCGCUUCAAGCUCAUGCUACGUAAGUGCCCUUAUCAUGACUUACAAGAUUGAAUUCAAUUACAAACUUUUUAUAAUGAGCUCGAUGGGAACUUGUGAUUUAGUCUAGACGAAGCAUCCGUGAGGGCGUUCAUGUCUCAGACAUAUGUUGAGGGUUGCCAACUCAUUGAAGAUAUGGCAAUUAAUUCAUAUAUGUAGCCGACUGAGUGUCUUGACACUAUUUUUUCGAAAGAAUAUCAGUGUUUAAAAGGUAUGUAAUCGGUUGACUCAUAGUUCUUAUUUAUAGAGAAACGGUACAAGAGUUUUGUUCAAAUAAAGUCUAAUUAAAUAAUAACAUUUUAAUAGAAAAUUCAAUGUUCUAGUAGAACUUGAACACAAAAGGCAAUAACAUCCCUAGUAAAUACUAAGUCCUAUUCGACCUUUCAUGUAUUAGGUAAAAUUAUAUUUGUUAUCCAGACUUUUAUCCAACACUUAUAAUUUAUCCAACCCAAUAAUUAUUUUUUAUUACCUAAAAUAUUAAUUAAUUAAUUAAUUCAUUAAUCAACUUAUCUAAAUUAUUUUUUCAAUUACAUGAUUUUCUUAACCCAAUUCUAAUAUUGUUAAAUUCAUAUCAACUUUACCAUAUUAGAAUCCAUGAGGAAAAUUAAUUACAAUCAAUUAAAUAAUACUUCAAAUAAAUUAAAUUAAUUUCUAAGUCAUCUUUUGUACUGAAUGAGAAAAUGCAUUCAUUGUGAAUAUUGAUACAUGUGAUCUAUUUCUCUUAUUGUUGUUAUUCAUUCCACAAUUUAUCAAUUCUACAUGCAAUUCGUUUCGGGUUAUCUCGAGCUAGCGGAAGGACCGAUUGAACAUAUAUAAUUAGGGAUCAAACAAUAUGUAAUUUAGUUCCAACACUUCGCCUAUUAAUUACAACUUAUUUAAUCAAUGAGUCAUUCCACUAUAGUAGCAAGACUAAACUCUCUCUUAUUAUAUUCCAUUACAAAAGCUAUUUUAUUAAGUGGUUGUCUAAUGGCAUUGACAUAAGUGUGUUACUCUCAUAAGAUAUCUUUAAUCUCUUUGGGGUAAAAUUCGUUCUCCCAGUAUGAUCCUAUUUUAUCUCAUAGUUUCCAUUACAUCUUCCAAUAUGAAAAAAGCCAAUUACUAACACAUAGUAAUUAAACCAUUUAUCUUAUGACAAAUGACCCGUGGCCAUGCUCCUUUUCAUCAAUCUUGUAAUGCUAAUGAGAAGACAUUAUUUACCCUUCAUUUGGCUAUAAAUUCCACUUUUGUGGAAUGGUAUUACAUCAUGCAGAAGCUGUAUACCCAACGUACAGACUUGUGGUUUUUUUAUCUAUUUGAACUCAGGCUUUCGUUUAUAUCAAAGUAUAUGAGUCACAAAUACAUAGUUCAUUAUCCACUCAGGAUUAAUGUAUGUCACAUUAUGAACGUCACAAGUGAAUAAAUCCAUAAACGAAUAUAGGAUAAAUUCAACUUGGGUCUUGUCUGAUGUAUUGUCUGUCCAAACAAUGGCAUCUAUGUCUCUGUCUUCUGGGAGUCGUCCACUCCGAUGCCCAAGAUAAUGCAUCUUCCUAAUUGGACUUGAUAAACUACAUCAUAGUCUUUCAAUCGAUUUGCUCAAUUUCGAUUAGAUUACUGGCUAUUAAGAUUAUCUACUAAUAUAAGUUGUCUUAUCGCAUUAUGAUCCUACCACAUAAUGCAACUUAAUAUUAGUUAAACAUUAAAUGAUAAUCAAUGUGCCAAUAUUUGCUUACAUUUUACUUUGCAUACAAAAAUUGUUAAGGACAUAUGCAAAUGAUAGUAAUGUAUAACGGAAUUUUAUUUAAACCAAUCUGUUUUAAAUAUUACAAACAUAAAGUGACGAAUAUACUACACUUAGGGCACUAGAUCCUAACAAUUCCCCAAAUUUGCUCCCUUCCAAUAUGCAAAUAUUUUUUGUGAUACUUAUCAGUGUUCUUUCUAUCUUCUAGAAUUUUUUGGACCAUCCUAAACUAAUGAAAUACCCAAUUACACCGAUGCCACUAAUGCAAGAGAAGAGUAUAAAUGUGUACACGUUAAAAACAUCAUUAUGAACAUCUGUGUCCAUUGGUAGUAUGAUAAUAAUCUCUUCCACCUGGUAUGACAUCCGUACAAACUGCAAAAUUAAUAAAAUAAUUGUAUUUUAAUUCAAUUGUGAUAUUAAGUAUAUCAUUAUAAUACACAAUUUAUAAAAUUAUUUAAUUCAACAUCAAUAUAUGCUCAUAUUGCUACUAUAUUAUCCUUCUAGUAAGUUGUAUGAUCAUAACGCUUGGACCACCUGUUAAAAUAUCAAAUGUUAGUACCAAUAUAAAAAUAUUUACAAUGUAAUAUAUUUUAUAACACAUGCUUUUAAUUUUACCAUAUUGCAAGAGGGAAUAUGAGAUUAUUAGAGGGGAUAAAUACUAUCCAUGGAAGUCUAUACCAUCCACACAAUUAUGAAAUCAUAAGACAACCAUUUCUUUCAUUAUUCUCCACUUAGCAUGCCUUACAUAUCAUUUUCGUAUAGGUAUGCCAAAAACAUAAAACUCUAAUUGUAUAGUCCAGUUGUAUGCUUCAAAAUUAGAUAACAAUUAGAAAUACACAAAUGAACUAAGUUGUUAAACUUUUCAGGCAUUAGCACACAUCCAAUCAACUGAAGAAUGUAAGCUCUAGCAUGAUGUUGAAUAUCUUUGAGUGUUGGAUUAUUUAAGAGAUGCUCAAAGCGACUCUUUAACCAUGUUAACUUAAUUUGCAAUCAAACUUAUGGUUUAUACAUGUUCCCAACAUUGAACAAGGACCUCCACCAGAUUGUACUAAAAUAUUCUCAUUAUUAGAUGCCUAUCCACUAGAAGACUCGUUAGUAACACUAAACAUUAAGUGUUAUUGUUGCUUCACUACAUGAAGAUGAAACAUAUGGGUCUCAGGUCUUUAUCAUUCAAUUAAAUAAAAAAUGAAUGUUAGCACAAAAGUAAAAUUAUUAAUUUGAUGUGAUAGAAAUCAUCUUUUAAGUGAAGAAUGAUUUUGUCAUCUAAUACAUUCAUCUCUACAUUACUAUGACACCAAGCCACUAGAAAAGACUCCAUUGUUGUAGUAUUUUAAGUAACAUAUCCUUCUUUUGAUCUCAAUAAGGGGGAAAUCAUUAUGGUAUGCUUCAAAAUUCGAAGUUACAAAUCUUGGGUAUAUAAGAUAGUAUAAAAUAUAGAUAAAGAAUAUUUUAGGUUUCUAUGAAAAUUAAACAAGUGGAAUGAAUUGUUUAUAGGUUUUAAGAUUAGAGCUUUUAAUAUGACCUCGAUAGCCCUUUAUGACGAGGUCUUGUUAAAUUUAUAAUUUUUUUAAAGUAAACUACACCAUUAGUUAAUAAACUAUGAGUAAGUUUUCGUUUUGGUCACAUAACUAAAAAAAGUUACAAUUUGGUCACUGAAGUAUUCAGAACUUUUCAUUUAAGUCAUUGGAUUGUUAAAAUCGAUGCUAUAUGGCUUUCUUUAUUUGCAUUGCCUACAAUAAUCGAAAGCUUUCUUUCCUCUUCUCUUUUACGGUUCAUUUUUUUAUGAAACAGCUUUGAACGUCACGAAUCUGCAAACCAAAAUUUAAAUAGCUUUUUUCUUUGAUCUCCGACACUGACCGUCAGAUCAACUUGGACCUAAGAUAUGUUCUUCUACUCGUCGAUGGGUACUGAUCCUCUGUACUAGCCAUUGAAUUGCCGCUUGGAGCUCGCUGGCGAAAGGUUUUUUUUUUUAAAGAAAAAUUUAGCAGCUUAAUGACUUAAAUGAAAUCUUUCAAAUAGUUCAACAACUAAUGGUUUAAUGACCAAAAUGAAAACUUACCCAUAGUUCAGUGACUAAUGGUGUGGUUUACCUUGAGGUGUUCAUGGGUUGGAUUGGGUUCAGGCUAGGCUUAAGCAUGAUAUUAACACACUUUAUACUUGCUCAAGCUUGGCCUGGCCUGAUCAUGGGCCUAAAAUUUUGCCCAAGCCCACCCAUAUUUGGAAUUAGUUAACCCAAGCCCAUUUAGGCACUCCCAUAUUUUUAAAAUAUUUAUUUUAAUUUAAUAUUUAAUAAUUAUAUACUUUUUUUAUUUAUUAUAGUUUUAUAUAUAGUCAUCUUAAUUUUUUUUGAUGUUUACAUUAUAGAAGUAUUAUAUAUUACUAUAUAUCUAAUUUUUAUGUGUUACAAAUUACAUAAUAUAUAAAAACAACAUAAUAUAAAAUAUUACAAACUUAAAAAACGGAUCGGGUUGAGCUUAGGCCUUAAAUGUUAAGCUCGAGCUAGACCCAUAUUUUAAACGAGCCUAAUUUUUUCUUAAACCCAUUUUUAGGUGUAAUAUUUUUACCCACACUAUCUCAAAAUUCUAGCAGAUUUUCAACUUUGGACAAGUUUAAGUUUAUUUAUUUUUUCAACAAUUAUGAUUUACUUUUUUAAAAAUUUACAAAUACUUUAAUUUUUGUAAAUAUCAUCCUUUACAAAUAUAUAAAUGAUUACAAUUUAAAAAUUUAAAAAUAUUUAUUUUAAUACUUCUAUACCAAAUUCUUUAAAAGAAAUUCUAAGAAAACUAAACAAAUUACAAGAAAAGAUAAAAUAUGAUUGUAGAAAGAAAGCAUCUCCUGUGCUCAACCUCAUCCAAACCAGUUCUGUUUUUACAGCAUCAUCAUUGAUUUUUAAUUUUGUCCGACUUUUGACUUUCACUCCAUCAGAAAUCAAAAUAAAGGGUGAGCACAAGAAAAGUAUUAUGAGGAUGCGAACAGCAUAUAGAAACUUAAUAGUGGAAGGCUAUUUUGUUCAAAGUGAAAGACGGGCAAAUAAAAAUAAUAAAGUCGAGAAAAAAGCCAAAAUGAAAUCCAAUUUUGAAGUCCGUCGUUCUGGACAUUUCCAAGAAGAUCAAAAACAGAACAAGAGCCUGAAAACUCUUUAGUAUUUCUCUACGGUUUCCCUCACCGUAACAACCCUGUGGCUGUUUUCUUUUCUUUAGUUUAGUUAGAUUUUGUAGAUGGGCCAAUCAGUUUCGGCGGCGAAGCUAAGGAACCGUCGAGAUUGGAACCAUCGCCAACGGUCAAAACCGAAAUCAAUGGCUCUGAUCUGUCCGAUGCAAGCUGAGGAAACUGAAGAGCUUGAACGAAGUAACACAGAUGGAUCGUCGGAUUUCAUCUCGGAUCUUCCUGACGAGUGUUUGGCUUGUAUUUUUCAGUCUCUUAGCCCCGCUGACCGAAAACGAUGCUCUCUAGUUUGCCGGCGGUGGCUUCUGAUUGAGGGACAGAGCCGUCACCGAUUAUCUCUCAACGCACAAUCAGAUCUGCAACCUCUCAUUCCUUCUAUCUUCUCUCGCUUCGAUGCUGUUACGAAACUGGCUCUGAAAUGUGACCGUAGAUCCGUUAGCAUAGGUGACGAAUCGCUUGUUCUAAUCUCCGAGCAAUGCCGGAAUUUGACUCGCCUUAAGCUCCGAGCUUGCCGUGACUUGACCGAUGCAGGAAUGUUGGCGUUCGCUAAAAACUGCAAGGGUCUAAAGAAGCUCUCCUGUGGUUCUUGCGCUUUCGGAGCCAAAGGCAUGAACGCUGUGCUCGACAAUUGUCUAGCACUCGAGGAACUCUCCGUGAAACGACUUCGUGGCAUCACAGACGGCGCUGCAGCUGAGCCGAUUGGGCCUGGGGUGGCUGCGGCGGCGUUGAAAACAAUUUGCUUAAAGGAGCUUUAUAAUGGGCAAUGUUUUGGUCCGCUUAUUAUUGGUUCAAAGAAUCUGAAAUCUUUGAAACUUUUUAGAUGCUCUGGCGAUUGGGAUAAGCUUUUCCCACUCAUAGUGGAACGGGUCGCGGGUAUGGUAGAGAUCCAUAUGGAGCGGAUCCAAGUCAGCGAUGUCGGUCUUGCGGCUAUCUCCAACUGUUCAAACCUAGAAAUUCUUCACCUCGUUAAGACUCCCGAGUGUACAAACGCCGGACUCGGAGCUGUUGCAGAGAAAUGCAACUUGUUAAGGAAGCUUCACAUUGAUGGAUGGAAAGCAAAUCGAAUAGGUGACCAAGGGUUAAUUGCUGUUGCGAAAUCUUGCCCCAAUUUACAAGAAUUAGUUCUUAUUGGUGUUAAUCCCACCAAACUGAGUUUGGAAAUGUUAGCUUCUAAUUGUCCAAAUUUAGAACGGUUAGCCUUAUGCGGUAGCGAUACAGUUGGUGAUGCAGAGAUAUCUUUUAUUGCUGUGAAAUGUAUUGCUUUAAAGAAGCUUUGUAUCAAGAAUUGCCCUGUUUCGGAUCAUGGCAUGGAAGCGCUUGCUAGUGGUUGCCCUAAUUUGGUUAAAGUGAAAGUGAAGAAAUGUAGAGGAGUUACUUCAGAAGGGGCAGAUUGGUUAAGAGCAACUCGAGGAUCACUUGUCGUUAAUUUGGAUAUCAAUUUGGAUAUGGGCGAGCAUUUAGAUGCAAGUGCCAGUGAUGGUGGGGCACAAGAUAAUGGAAUUGAAUUUCCUCCAAUGGUGGGCAGUCAAAUUGGAGCUUCUAGUAUUGCAUCGAGCAGUACAGGUCGAUCGACAUCAUUCAAGUUGUUAGGGCUUAUGAGUGGGAGGAGUUUUGUGGCUUGCACAUUAAGGAGGUUGGCAAGUAGUUCUCGGAGUUAACUCGGAAUUGCAACAACAACAAAAAGAAAAAGAGUGACAAUAGAAAGCACUCUUGGUAUGAACUGUUUACAUUAUUUUUCUGUUGGUAGUUCUCCCUUGUUUGUGUAUUUAAUUCAAUUCUGUGUGCUGAUGAUUGCCUUUUGAAUUCAAUCUUCAUCUUCAACAUUUUAUAGUUCUCAAUUUGAUCUGUUGGUUUGUAGUUCCUUUAUUUAGCAAGCUCUGUCUAUGUCUUCAUUCUUCUCAAACAUAUUUGUCCUAUACUGGAAUUUAAAGAACAUCUUUCUGAUUAAUUAGUUAUAUCUCUUUAUUUGGUCCGUGUUACAAAAUACUUGCAUACCAACAUGCAUGUCCUCCAAAUGCAUACUUGUAUCCUAAAAUUCUUCUUAUUAGAUAGGAGGAGGUUUGUUUCUCCUGUUAUAUGCAAUUUAUAUAUAUAUAUCAAUUGAGUUUUAAAUAUCUUAAUUGUUUGUUGCUGCAUGUUUUAAACAUGAUCAAUAGUAGGGAUCAGGUGUUGGAACUGAGAACCCGGUUAGACUUUUUGAUUUGCAAUAUGCAUAUCCUUAAUGCAAAUCAAAGCCGGAUUCAAACGCCAACGUCUUGAUUCUUUGGAAAAAUGAUUCUUUAAUGUUAUUUUUGGUUUGAUGAGAAAAGAUCUGAUGAAUGCUACCGCUGUAUGAAAUUAGUAAGUUCUCUGAUUUUUUUCUCUGUGAAUUGCUGUUAAAAUUGCUUUGAUGUUACAGAAGCCAAUUUUUAUGAUGGUUUAUUAUGAUGCUUCUGGUUGAUCAUAUUUUGCAAUGACUUGUUGAUCUGCAAUAUUAAGUGGUUAGGAAUUGAGCAGUUUAUCAUCUUUAAAUGGUUUAAUUCAUGCACCUCAGAUACACUUGCACUUUCAGGAGAGAACAAUUUUUUUUUAUUUAGUUUCUAUUACUGGGGACACAGUCACAAGUCUCAUGGUCCGAUUGCAUUUUGCCCCCUCUAUUGAAAAAAUGGGCUAAUUAGUUCCUAUAUCUUAGAUCAAAGAGCGAAUUUGUCUUUUUUGUUAAAUGUUUCACCCAUUUGUACUAUUAAAAGUUGACGUGGUUAACGAAAUAACUAAAAUGUCAAAUAAUGACAUAAGAUCUGAUUUUUUUCUAAUAAAGGAAUCAUUUUACUUUUUGAUCUGCCAUGGAUGGAUUAAUUUGUUUUUUUUUAAUAAAAGGGAUAAAAUAUAAUCUGAUUUUUAGGUUUAGUUUAGCAUUAUUUUUUAAAAGUGCUUUUGAGAAAAAAAUAUACUUUUGAGGAGAAGUUAAAAUUUUCAGUUUUUGAAAAAAGUAUUUUUGAUUAAUUUUUAGCUUGAGAGAAAUACUUUUUCUCUAAAAAAAAAGAAUAUUUUUAUCUCAAAAAAAGUGUGGGGGUUUUCAUUAUACAUUUACUUAAGUUUCUGACCAUGCAUUGGCAAAUUCAGGGUUGAUCUUGUUGAAUUGUUGGUUUGUGGUAAUGCAUUUAUUCUUGUCAGCUUGCCUACCGCUGAAUAAUUCCAAAAUAUAGGUGGUUUGAAAUUGCAUAUUCCAUCAAUGCAGAUUCAGGAUAGUGAAUGAUUUUGAAUUGGAGGCGUCCUACCCCUGCUUUCUGCCUUGGUGCUCCAAGUCUCGUAUUGUAUUAAUUAUAUUCCCGCCUAAGAAAUACAAAAUUUGAAACUUCUCAGAAAUUAAUGACGUUGCUUUUGAAACCAUCACAUUCGUAAAAUGAAUGUGAGUGCUAAUUUUUGUCACAUCUUGACAUUGUGAUAUAUUUUAAUGUUUAUAAUGAUAUAUAGUACAUAAACAUUGCAAUUUGAAUGAAUUGGAGAUUGCUUCCACAUCCACAAUCCAUGACCUAAUAAAGAUGCUUGCUUAUCCUGUUCUGUACCAACUAACCAUGUUUUUUUUCUUAAUUUGGGCCAAUUACUCCAUUUACUAUUUAAUAAUAAAAAUUAUUUAAUCUAUAUUACAUUCAAAAUCUUUGGCAAGUGAAUAGCAAUUCAGUAGAGGGGAAAAAGAACUAGAAUUUUGGAAGUAACAAAUUUUAUUUACAUCUUUCAAUAAUUCUCUAUAGGAAAGUUAAAUAAUUUAAACUACAACUUUUUUUUUAUUUGAAUGAUAUAAAUAAAUAAUGCAAAUAUGCUAACACAUAAUAGGUGUUGAGUUCCUUAUGGUUGCUCAACAACUAUCACAAAAUUUGUUGUGUAAAACAUCGUUAUGAACUUAACAUAUGUGAUUAUCAAGAUCAUGUUAUUUUAAAUUAUUCAAUCCAACUUGACACUUGACUUUUUAGGACUGUACUUUGUUAUUAUUGACGGAUUUGAUUUGAUAUAUUAGAAAUUCAACACCAUUAGGCCGUUUUGCGAUACAUCAAACUUGACAUCUACGAGUGUUAAGGUCAUGCUAUCUUAAGUUGUUCAAUCCCUUUCCCUUCUAAUAAAUUCUGCAAAACCAAUAACCAUUAUUCAUUCCAAAAUUCUUUCAAAAUCCUCUUUAACAUCUACAUACCCUAAACCAUUCGAAUUGCUUUCAAAAUUCGCUACAAGUCAUUUAUCAUGUAAGUGUUUUUUCUCCAUAAUUCAUGAAUUAGUGUUUAGAAAGUUUUCAUAAGUGAUUUUGGCAAAUAUUAAAUUAUUAUUGCAUUUACCAAUUAUUGAUAGUAAAUUUUUAAGUGUUUUCUAGCCAAUGUUAUGCUAUUAUUGUUGUUACUAAUUGUUGAAUAUGUUAUAUAUAUAUUGCUAUAAGUUAUGUGAUUGUUUUUGCUUGCUAUUGUAGUAAGUUACUGUUAAUUUUAUUGGAUUAUUUGUUAUCAAGAAUUGUUGAAGUUGUUAGCCUUAGUUGUAAUGUUCAAAAUUUAAUAUUUGACAACCUCAAAGAAAAAGAUGGUAGAUUAACUCAUGGCCCAAAUCCAUUUGAAGGGAUUUACUAUUUUCACCGAGGAAAGAGUUGUAUUUCAAUAUGAAGCUUGACAUUUAGGAAUCAUGUUACCUUAGAGUACAUGAAAUGGAGGAUUCUUAGGAAAAUUCAAGCAAGAGGUACUAAGUGGAUAUCCAAUAUGAAAUAUAAAUUCAUGAGGUCUAGUAGAAUGGGUGUAAGCAUUAUGACACCAUAAAAGUGAUAAUGUUGCCAUGGAGCUAUUAGUGGAGUUUUAAUAUGUUUUUGAUACUAGUUAUGACAUUUUGAAUUAUGCAAGCUCAUUGACUAUCCUGGUGCCGACAUAUUAUUUGAAGAUUCUAUCAAUGUCAUAUACUACCGGUAUCUUUCCCGAGUACUAUACCCAAGAGUCUAUGUGCCAUAUAUUCGUGAGUUGCAUGAAUAAACGAUGGUUGUUUCAUUGUUGGGAGGAUUUGAAUUGGUCAAAGCAAAUUAUCUACAUCUUCUGGUAGGUGACAAUCUCAAAUAAUUUGAGUAAAAAAUGAUGCACAACUAUCUUUGUUUAAGGCAUUUCAGAAAUCAAAGCAUCAUGAUAACGAUGUUGGUGAGCUCACUUGUAAUAGCCUGAUUUUCAGUGGUGCUGAAAAAAGUGAUUUCAGAACCUUAUUUUCGUAAACCAAGUCCGUAAAUAUUAAAUAUAAAUAUUUACGAAGUUGGUAUAUUAGUAUAUUAAAGUUUUGUUUGGCAAUUUUGUUAAAUUCAUUGUUAAUUUAGGUGCAAUGAUUAAAUUGUUAAAGUUCAAUCGUUAUAGGUUUUUAAUUGACUAAAGGCUUAAGGACUUAAAUUACAAUUAGCCAAAGGUCCAAAAUGAUAAUUAAACCAUUUUUCAUUAUGAAUUGGUGGAUGAUGAUGAGAGAUUCCAUUUUUUUAAUUAGUGGUUGAUUAAGUUAGUUAAAACAUAAUUAGCUUAAUUAAAUUAAGUUAAUUAACUUUUAAACAUGGUAUAAAAGAAAAAAAGUGGAGUUUUGUCAUCACUUCCAUCUUCCUCACUGCUCAUAGUAGAAAAACCUAAAGAAAAACCAUUUUUGAAGCUCAAGCUAUUUGAUCCCUAAUUGACAAGAAUUGGAUCAAACCAGAGAUAAUUGAGGAAAAGCUAAAAUUGUCGUUUAGUCCUUGAAGAUUCAACUUGUUUGGUGUUUUGACCAGGUAUGGAACUUAGUAUUCUAUUUUAAUUAUGUAUGAAUUAUACUUGAAUUAAUAUUUAUAUAUAAUUGUUAGAAUUGAGUAGAAUUAGAGAAUUGGCACAAAUGUCUUGUAUUAGACUGAAUUGUAAAUUCGUAUAAGUAUUGGUUGUAUGAAAAUAAUACAAGGUGUUAAUAUGAUCAUUGAUUGGUUAUAUGCCUCGUAAAUGAAAAAUGAAAUAUGUACAUGAUUUGAUAUUGACAUUUAUACGGAAGUAAUGCCCAAGUAAACUUAGUAAAAGGUUAAGAUACGUAUGACAUGCCAUUAGAGUUAUACACGUAUUUGAUUAGGUAUUUACAUGUUAUUACGAGAUCUAGCAUUUGUUACAAAUACCCAAGUUAAAUGUAUCAUAGAUUUAAUCGGAUGGGUAACCUUGAUAUAAUGUCAGCUUAUGUGAGCAAUACAUUCUCAUGUAUUCAAGUUCGUUUUACUAUAGUUCCAUCGGGUGAUGAUCAAUUGACUAGAAAUGGAAUUUAAAUCAUGAAAUGAUAUUGAUGAUACUUGACAUAUAGGUUGUUAUAUGAUUCUAUUUUUAAUGUUUUUAAUGUUAACAAUACUUAAGAUAUAUGUAUUAAUGUGCCAAGAAAAGUUAAAUUGGUUUCCAAAUAGAAUAAAUUAAUUAUGUCGCAUGACCAAGGUAUGCUUUAGUUUCGAUUUGAACUUACUAAAAAUUUUAUAUGCUUACCUCGUUUGUUUUCCCUUUUUCCUUGUAAAUAGUCACCUUGCGAAACACAUCAAGUUGGAUUGUCUCAAAACUCACACUAUCUCCAAUUCAGUAGCUAUUUGAUCAUUUUGAGUCAAGGGUUGUGGCAUGUAUAUAAGGUGUCUUAUGGUGCAUCUUAGUAUGUAAAUGUAUUUACUUAUAGCAAGUUUCUUUUUUAAUCUUUACUUAUCAUGUUGAUUUGGUGAUUCAAAUAAUACAUGUUGUUGGGCAUAUAUGUAUGUUUAUGCUAAAGAAUGUGAUGAACUAUAUUCAUAGAUUUGGCAUGUGAAAUGGCAUAGAAUGAAGUUGAGAUGGUAUGUUUGAUUGGUAAGCUUGAAAUAUGUAUUAGUGAAUAGAUGAUUUGGUUUAUGUUAGGGCAUAUAAGCUAUUAAAGUGCAAAGUGAAUAUAUGUGUAUGAAAUUAAGGUGAUAUAGCAUGUUUCAAAAUGAAACGACAUUAGUAGGGUUUGAUCAUUACAUGACUUGGUUGUUAGGAUAUAAUAGUAGUAAGAUGUUUUGAAUGGGUGUGGAUUGUUUGAUAAGAAGUUGAAAUUGUAUGUUUGAACUCAUAUGGUAUGUUUUCAUAGAUUUUGAGACAAUUUGGAGUGAAAUAUAGGUUCAUCUUUUGAAUGGUUUGGUUGGAAACUUUGAAAUAUGUACCAAAUGGUUCAUUUUUACCAAAAACAGGGUCCUUGUCUCGACGACCAUCUUUCCUUGUCGCAACAUCGGUCAACAGUAUGUGACGUCGCAGUGUCGAGUGGCUUGAGGUCGUGACAUGAAAAAUUGUUUGACAAUGUCACAAUGUGGAAAGGAUGAUGUCACGACAUCAAACUUGAACUUUUAAAAACUUUGCAAUUUGGUCCUAUUUUGAGUUCGGGUUUACAAAAGAACUUUCAUAAGCUCGAUUAAGACUCAAAAUUGAUUGUUUAAUAUGAUUUGAAUGUGAUUAACACUUAAAUUGCAUGUGUGAAUGAUUAAUUACUGCGUGUUUGUCUAUAGUUCGGACCUGGUGAUUAGGUCAGGCGAGGGGUGUUAUAUCACUAAAGUUGAAGCUGAAACCUAGGUUGAAGCCAAAUUCGAUAUUGAAGUUGAAUGUGGCAGUGAUCUUGAGCUGAAAGUGUUAAGAUUUGUUCCCACAGUGCAAUGAUUUGGUCACAACUACUUGUAAGUUUUGUAGAAAAAUGAUUGAAUAAAUAAAAUUACCACAUGUUCAUUUAGUUGAUCUUUAUAUGUUUUUACUCAAUGGUUUUUGCAUGAAAAACAAAAUGUUUAACAAACUUCUUAAUUACCUAAGGUUUAAAUACUAUUAAGUUGCAUUAUAUGGAUGGAUUAUACUGCAACAAACUUAUACUAGUAGGUAAUUUAAAUUAUUUGUAGUACAUAGAAUUAGAUUGAGCAGAUGAUUCAAAUAAUAAGAGACUAUUAUGUUUUCUAUAAUUCUAAUUGGAGAGAUAGCUUGCCUUGGCUAUCAAAGCAAAUUUGACUCCAAGAAAUAGACACAGAUGUGAUUGUUUGGACUAACAAUACAUUAGAUUGGAUCCAAGUUGAAUUGAUCCUAAGUUCAUUUAUAGAUUUAUUCACUGGUGACAUUCAUAGUAUGACUUACCUUAAUAUUGAGUAAGUGAAUAAUCAUGCAUACAUGACUUAUGUAAUUUAUAUAUUGAAAGCAUGUGCUUUUAUAGUAGCGGGUUGAACUAUGUUUGGCACAUGAGUUAUGCAUGACAUGACUUUACCCACAAUAGUGGAGCUAUAGCUUGAAUGAAAGAGUAAAUGACAUGCUCUCAUUGGCACUGUAUGGAUUUUGAAAAUGGAACGUGGACAUGAGUCAUUUGUCUGGACAAAUGACUAAUCAUUACUAUUUGUAAAUAAUGAUCAUUUUCAUUGUGGAAGAUACAAUGUUGACCAUAAGAUAAAAAUAGAUUGAAUUAGGUGAAUGAAUUUCACCUAAAGGGGUCAAAGAUUUCCUAUCAGGGUAACAUACAUAUGACAAAAUCAUUGGACAAAAUCUUAACUUAAAUAGCUUUCAUAAUGGUAUAUAAUGGAGAGAUUAUUCAUGGUACUUCUAGUAGAUUGAACUUGUGACUAAAUAACUAUGUAAUUAAUAGACGAAGAAUCGAAACUUAAUUACAAAUUAUCUAAGCCCUAAUUAUAUAUGUCCAAUCAAUCCAUCCUUUAACAAUCCAAAAUUUUGGUAUGUCAUCUGGCAUUGUUUCAAAAUCAGAUACAGUGAAAAUUCCAAGGAUAUUGGAAAAUGAUUUAGCUAAAGAAAGUUCAUGAGAGGAAAUUGAUAUUUGAGAUGGUAGUCAUGAAAAAUAUUGAGGAUGUGGAAAUGUCGCAAAAAAAGACCAAACUGUAAAUUUUAAAAAGUUGGAGGACUAAAGUGAAAUUUGACCAAAAAGAGAUAGAGAUUAUUAUUGACUAUUGUAGCAUGAGAAUAAAUUAGAAUAUGUAUUGGUGUGAGGAAAAUCAUUUUUGAGACUAAAUUGGAAAGACUGGAAAGUACAAAUAUUAAAUUAUAAAUUUUUUUUAUCGAGAGAAGGGUGAAAGUGUAAUUUUCACCAUCCAAUGAUCUUUAUUAAGAUUUUAAUUCUGAAUUAUGAGAUUUCAAUAUUUUACAUGUCUAUUUGUUGAGAAGAAAUUGUACUAAGAGGCAAUAAGGGAGAUAAUGAUAAUUUUACCAUGUAAGAGCAUUUUGAUCAUUUCUCAAGAAUUUUAUAUUGGAAGUAUUAUUUUGGCAUGAUGUUAUUAUAUUGUGAUCUAAUGUUAGCCAUUGGAUGUGAAUGGAAGGGAGACAACAUGUUAAAUAUAUUUUUACAUAAUGUCAUUAUAUUUUAUACAAAUGAUUGGGUUAGUGAGAACAUUAAAAAAUACUCACAAUAUUAAGUUUGAUAAUUUGAAUUGGAUCACACUCUUUUGUAUUCUUUGCUGGAAAAUAUGGAAGCAAAGAAAUUUGCUUGUGUUUAGGAGAGACAGAACAUUGUGGUUCUUAUAACACUCUUGCGCAAGGCGUUGCUAGUUUAGGCAAAGUCAGUGUUCAACAGUCGUGUUACGAGUAGCCAACAGGCUAUUAAAACUGAAAAGCUUGUUGGAUGGUCAGCUCAUGCAUUUGGUUGGGUUAAAUUGAAUACAAAUGAAGCAUAGCUUCAACAAGGGGGUAUUGACUGAGAGACUCCUCAGGUCGAUGGCUAAAGGGAUACAAUCCGAACACUGGUUCUUGUUCAGUUUAUCAGAGAUGGGUUUUUAACUGGAAAUCCAUAUGCCGAAUGAGAAGAAUGCUCCGGUUAGGAGUAUUAACAAACUCUGCAUUUAACCAUCUGUAAUAUAAAUGUUCUUAGACCUUAUUUAAUAACUGUUGCACUUACUUUAAUUAAUUAAUUUAAUCUUUUAUGCCAAACAUAAUCCAUAAUUUUUUUUUUAUCUCUUCUUUACCUAAAUGAAGAACAAGCAGUUAAUUUAAUUAAUUGCACGGAUUUUUUUCUUUUUUUAACUUAACAUGAAAGAUUCGAGAUUAUAUAAUUAAAAGAAUUUUAAGUUCUGUAGACAAUUACUAAAUAUGAGUUAUUUGAGUUGAUUUCGUUAUUUAUAAUCUAGAAACAUAAAAUUUAAUUUUAAAAUUUAGAAGGAAAUUUAAUUAAUUUCAAUAUUGUAGUAACAAAUCGGUUGACAUUAUCAAGAGAUAAUUUUUUUGAAUAAAUUAUUUAAUUGAUUUUGAUGUUUUGAUUUCUAAAAAUUCAAUACUUAAAAAGGAAAUUUAAAAUUUUCGGAAAUAAAUUUAAAAAGUAUAAUUUGACAAUUUUUUAAUGUAUUAUUUUAGUUUCUUCUGAUUUUUCACUUACCUUAAUUUUUUAACCCUGAUUAAUAUGUUAAGAAAAGAAUGUUUUUUGGGUGACCAAAGUGAAAGAGACUUAGAAGUUGGGUGACUAAAAUGAAAGUGUGAGCAUGAUGUGGCAUGCACUAUCCAUGAGUGUUAGAGAUUUAAUGCUUGAGUGACUAAAAUGAAAACACACUAAAAAUUAGGUGACCAAUUAGAGAAUUUGCCCUAUUUAUUUUAGUAAAGUUACUUAUCCUCUAUCUCUAUAUAUAGAAGUAUUAUAAUCACUUUUAUCUAUUCUAGAGAUAAGAAAAUUUUAAUGUUUUUAUUAGAUUUUAUUUUAUUAUAUUUUCAUCCAUUCAUAUGUAAAGAUUUGUUUUUUUUAUAUCAACUUAAUAUAUAUUCAUGAUUUUAAAUUCAUACUAAAAUAUGUUUUACAAUAUAUACAUUAAAUAAAAUUUUAAUUUAAAAGUAAAUUAUUUUUUAAAACCUUAUUGAUCACAUAUAAAUAUUUUUUUAAGUAAAUGUAUUCUUUUAUUCUUUCAAUUAAUAGUAUAUAUAUUUCUUUUUUAUUCUUUUUAAUUUCACAUUUUUUCUUUAUUCUUUUUUGUAUUUUCAUCUAUAUGAUUUUAUAUCAAUAUAUACAUGUGUGUGCAAAAAAUUAUUUUGAUUAAAAAAGUUAAUUUUCAAGCAUUUUAUGAUUGCUUAACAUAGAAUUUUUUCAUUUAUUUAUUUAAAUUAAAUUUAGUAAAUAAUUUUAAAGUUUAUUAAGAUAGUAUUUUAGGAUAAUAUAUCUUAGUUUAUUUUUUUUCCAUUUUUAUUUAUUAAUAGUUUUAAUAAAACAUAUGUUUCAUUUUUAUAAUUUUAUAAUUUUAUAAGUUUCAAAAGAUAAUGAUUUUCAUUUAUUUAUAUUAAAUUUAUUAUUUAUUAAGUUUUUAUUUUAAAUAGAUCUUAAACUUGAAUUAUUUUAAACAUUAAAAAAACUAAUUACCAUUGAAGAGGUAAAAAAUUAAAAUUAUAAAUAUGAGAUUAGUGUUUUACUUUAUGACAAUGAAAAUGAUUUUGCUAAUAGAUAAAUUUUUUAUUAAUAUAUACAUAUAUCUAAUGAUUUUUUUAAUAAUUUGUCUUUUACACUUUGAAUAUUUUUACAACACACCUUUUAAAAUAUAAUUUUCUAAUUAUUAUUUAAAAUUUAAAUUAAUUCUAAUUACUUGAAAUUUAAAUUUACUUUUAUUAUUAGAUUAAAUUUCUUUUAAAUUAUUUAUAACUCAUUCAUAAUCAUACAUUUUUCUUAUAUUUUGAUUAAACAAUAAUUUAUUAUAAAAUUUUAUAAAAUUAAAUAAUAAUUUUGUAUUUAUUUUCAUUUUUAUCAUUAUUUAGAUUUAUAUUUAUUUUAAUAUUAAGUCACAUUUUAAAUAUUAUUUUAUAAUAAAAUUAAAUUUAUUAAUAUUAAUAAUGUAUUUUUGUUAUACUAAAAAUUUUUAGUUAAAAUUUUAGAAUAUAAGAUAAUAUUUUAAUUUUAGUUUUAUUUUAAAUAAUUUUUUAUUAUAAUUUUAAUAAGAUAAAAAUUCUUCAUAGAAAUAUAUUAAAUAAACAACUAACACAUGCAUCAUGGAUAACAAACUAGUUAGAAUAUAAUUUAAUUAAAUUUUAAUUUGGUAAAAAUGAAGAAUUAUUUUAAAACUGUUAUGAUUAUUAAGUGGAUGUCCAUCAAGAUUAAUAUAAAUUUUGAUGUAUUUUAAAUUCUAAUAGUCAUUAAAAUUAGAUCUCUACUUCAUUUAUACUUCUUAUACCUAUAAAUAGAGACUUUGGAGAAGCUUUGUAAAUAUUUUGAUUGAUUAAUAAAAUACACUCUCUCUUCUGCUCUCCCAUUCUCUUUGUUCUUUAUUUUCUAUCUUUUUAUUUUAUAACAAGUUAUCAGCACGAUCUUACUCAAAGUGAUAAAACCUUUUAUCGACGAUCAAAUUUAUUCUCCAUGAUUUUGUAACAUCCCGAUUUUGGGCCUGGUCGAAACAGUGGUUUCGAGCCCACAAAUCCGAUGAGGAAAAAUUUAUUUUUCUUAUAUUUUUAUGGUCUACAAUUUCACAAAAUGAUUUCGUGAAAAUUUUGUUUGAAAAUUUCGACGUUUGGGCACUCAAUUUAGUCAAAAGGACUAAAUUGUAAAAAGUGCAAAAGUUGAGUUCUACAUGUUAGAGGUGCCCAAUUGUUAUGAAAUUUUUAAUUGGAGGUCCUUAUAUGGUAAUUAGACCAUUGGUUAAGUUGGUAGACAAAAAUGGACAUGGUUAGGCAUGUUUCCAAAGUUUUUCAUUAAGGGCAUUUUGGUCAUUUAGUUAUUAAAAUGAAUUAAAAAAAUUAAAAGCCAAUUUUUGUCCAUCUUCAAUUCCAUGGCCGAAUUUCACAAGGGGAAACCAUGGCCAGGGUUUUUCAAGCUUCCAAGCUCGAUUGUAAGUCUGUUCUAGCCCCGUUUUUAAUGUUCUUUACGUUUUUGGAGUCUCGGUAACUUGAUUUAGCUUAUUCUAGUAAUAAUUUAACCUAGGGUUCAUAUUUGGAAAAAUACCCAUAGGUGAAAUGUGUUUAUUUUGAUGUUUUAUGGUAGAAUAUGAAGUUUGAAAUUAUGUUAAACAACUUUUGCUAAGUGAUUUUAAGUGAAAACGAGUAAAACGACAUAAUCGGUAAAAAUACCUAAUGUUCAUAAGUAAGUGUUAGAGUGGGAAUUUGAUGUUGCCAUAGAAGGGAAAAAUGUUCAGCAUGUCAUAAAAAAUAAGAAUAAGGGAUGAACUUUAAUUUCCGAGCUUUGGGACAAGAUUGUAAAUAUGCAAAAGUUUAGGGGUAAAAACAUAAUUUUGUCAAAGUUUGAGUUAAGGAAUGUUUUGAUGAAUGUGAGUAUUAAAUAAGCAGAAUUUUCUAUUAUAGAUCAAGAAGAAUAAAAUUCGGAGUUAGACCGGGGAAAGAAAAAGGUUGAGGACUAAAGUGCUAGAUUUGAUCAUAUUUUGUACCGAGGUAAGUUUACGGUAAAUAAAUGAAAUAUUUUGAUAAUUAUUAUUAAUGCUGUUAUUUUUCAUAAAUUAUGUAUUUAUUUCAUGAAAAUAUCUAAUGUUAACUUAAGUAUGAGAUGACAGAGAAUCAGUGUUAAAAGGCCCCGUUGAAACAUGAGGAAUGUAUUGGAUACAAAUGUCAUGACAUUUGGGUAAAGAGAUCCCAUGUAAGACCAUGUUUGGGACAUGGCAUUGGCAUCAUUGAGAUUAUGAGAGGUCCCAUGUAAGACCAUGUCUGGGACAUGGCGUCGGCACCGAGAUGAGAGGUCUCAUGUAAGACCAUGUUUGGGACAUGACGUUGGUACCAAGAUGAGAGGUCCCCCGUAAGACCAUGUCUGGGACAUGGCAUGGGCACCUAUAUGAGAACUCUCAUGUAAGACCAUAUCUGGGAUAUGGCAUUGGCAGUACAAGAAACAUCCGAUGUAAGACUAUGUCUGGGACAUAGCUUUGGCAUGUUAUAUUCAGACAGGAGACUGAGUAUCCUUAGUAUUCUAAGUGAUUCAACGGGCUAAUAAAUAGACGAUGUUACAUGAAAGUUCAGGUAAAAGCCUAAUAGACAAGUUUAGGUGGGUUAAUAAGAUUAAGAGUAUCUCAGUUAUCAGUUGAGAAAAGAAAUUUCAGCAACGAAGGAGUAAGUUAAGCAAGCAAGUAAGUAAACGAGUAAAAGAGUAAGUAAAGAAGAAAGUAAAGAUCUUAAUGCUUAAUAAAAAUUUAUGAAUAUAAUUGUUUAUGAUAAAUGUUGUUAUUUAUUUACUUGUAAACUUACUAAGCUUUAUGCUUAUUUCUUUUAUUUCUUUUUCUUUCAUAUAGUAUUAUCAAGCAUAGUCGGGAUCUUGAAGACGUCGGAGAGCGUUCACACUAUCAACCACCACAACUCGGUAUUUUAAGACGACCAAUGUUUUGAGCUAUGGCAUGUAUAGGGACUUGGUCAUUUCGAUUGUAUAUUCUUAAGAUAUGACCAAAAAAUGAUAUGUAAAUAUUUGAUGAUGAAUAUUUAUUAAAAUGACUAAGUAUGAAGGUGUUUGUUGUUAUAAAUGUCUAGGUGAUAAAUUAUGCAUAGAAAUCAUGAAAAAGUAAAAAUUGGUAGUGAAUCAGUUUUGAGACACCAAUAAUAAUGUGAAUUUGAAAAAUCACCAAGGAUAGUAGAAAAUGAAUUAGAAGGUGGAUAAGAUAUAUAAUUAAAUUUUAUUGAGUCUAUUUUCAUAGAAAAAUAAUGGUGUAGACAAAGGAAUUAUGUAUUCUGAGAUAUUUGCAUUUUAGUUAGACAAGGUCAAAGUGGUUUUCAGAAUCCCCUAUUCUGACUUUGGAAAAUAAUUAAAAAUUGUACAAAAAUAUUUAUGAGUUUUAAUUUAUAUUUCUAGAUUCCUUAUUGAGUCUAUUUUCUGUAGAAACAAGUGAGAACACCAUAUGAAGUCUGUACAAUGAGAUAAUUGAAUUUUAGUGACGAGAGAUCAGGACAGUCGAUAAGUGAAACAGGGGAGAUUUUAACUAAUAAAUUGUACUAAUUUUCUGAACCAAAAAUUAUAAAAAAAUUUAUGGUAAAAAGAUAUAUGAGUCUAGUUUCAAGGAAAAUUUACGGAUCUAAAUUUCGAGUUUCGUAGCUCGAGUUAUAAUUGAUUUAGUGACUGCUGCGCAGGUGGACAGCCUUAUUAUGAACAGUGAAAUAGCUUUUAAAAGUAAAUUUUUAUGCCCCGAACUUUUAACUUAAGUCAAGUAAUGCCUCAUGCUCGACUCCGGCAACGGUCUCGGGUAAGGGGUGUUACAGUUUUCCAAGAUCUUAGAGGGCAAGAUGCAAAGGUUUUGCAGGAAGUUUCUUUUAUUUAAUGUUUUAUAUUUGAUUAUUUUUAGAUAAUUCAUGAUCAAUUAUAAUUAUUUUGAUUAACUUUUUUUAUUAUUAUGUUAUUAAGGAUGGUGAAUGAUUUGAUAUCGUUAUCUAUAUGAAAUUGUGAUUGGAUUCAAAGUCUACUAUUGGAGUUUAAAUUUGAUUACUUCUUGAUAAAAUCAUUAAGAAUUCGUUGAACAAGAAAGGUACAUCAACGUAAUUACAUCUCUAUAUUUACACUUUUUCUCAAUAAUAGCAUCUUUAGAUAUUAAAUUAAUUUGAUAUAUGGUUUAAAUAUUUGAGAUGAUUUUAUUUUAAGGUUUGGUUCCAUGGGUUACUUAUGGUUUCAAACAUCUUAUUUAUUAAUGAAAAUGAAUAUUGUUUGACUUCUUUAUGUUGUUAUAGUAGGUUUUAUAAUUAAAUAAUGUAUUUGGCUAAAAACAUAUUAGUAUGUAAAUUUGUGUUGAAAAACCUAUGAAAUUUAUAAUUGUUCAGUUUUGAUUUAGUUUGAAUAUAAAUAAUGUUCCAUUAAUGUCUCUUAUUAUUUUGGUUAUACGGUUUGAAAUUUUUCAAUACUCAUACAUGCAUAGUUCUAAACACAAUUUUUUGAGGAAUGUCUAAAUUGAUUUUUGGGUUGGUUCUAAUAUUGAGUUUCAAGUUUAAUUGUUGUCAUUUUUAAUUCUUAAAUUAUUUUAGUUGAAAAUAUUUUCAUAAACUUAAAAAUAAGAAUUACUAUAUUAAUUUGACUGUUUGCAUUUCUAUGAAUCUCGUUUGUAUUAACCAAUUUUUAUUUGAUAAGAAGCAUUAAAACAACUCAUGUGGUUUGAUUUUUAUAAAUACCUUAUAUGUUCUUACUAUACAACCUAGAGAAACUUGUUACUUUCGUAAAGUUGUUAAAGGUGGUUCAUACUCUUUAUAUUUGUUAACUAUUUAGAGAAAUUAUAUGAACAAUUAUAAAUGGAAAAGUUUUAGUGAGCAUGAGAUGUAUGAUUUUGAAGUAAAUUUCAUACAUGUCUGCAAUGGUUUAUGAAUUUUUUGUUGGCACUAGCAUUAUAUCAAGUUUGAUAUUUUAAAUUUCAGUUUUAUCCGUACAUUUGAUUUGCAAUAAACUCCAUGUAUGACUUGGUUAUUUCUUUCUAGUUAAUUGAUGGUGAAAAAACUCUAAUGAAAAGGGCUUAGAGGUAUUUUCGAUUGAUCUAAUGCCUUCUUGAAGCUAAACAAAAUAAUGAAUUAUUUGUUCCACUGAUUCUGCUUCAUUUCUUGAAGUGAAUGUAGCAAUAUAUAACAAUUAUAAAAUGGAAUCUUUUGUCAUUAUUGACAAAUAGAUGAAAAGAAGAUGGAUAAUUCGAAAUGUUGCUAAUUGUUUAUUCUUAGGACAAAAUGACCAAUGAUUCAUACUAAUUAAUCAUUCCUUGAAGCGAAUGAUAUCUAUAUAAUCUUAUUGGUAAGGAAUAUGAUAUAUGCUUACAUUAUUGUUCAAUUUUUUUUGUACAUUCCUUGAAGUGAAUGUUUGCAAUAAAUAUAACAAAUUGUAUAAUCACUUUUGAUUAUUAAUGUCAAUUUGAACAUUUGAAGAUCUUGACAUAUUCCUUGAAGUGAAUAUUGCAAAUAAUUGUUUGCAAAUUAUAUUUCUUUUAUUGAGUUAAUAACAUUAUGGACUUCACAUUGAUGUAGACAUUUCCAGAAGUAAAUGUCAGAAUAGUACUUAUAUGUAGAUACAAAGUAAAAAGAAUGACAGUAAAAUUAUCAAUUUGUCACAAUUUAUAUUGACAUUAAUAGUACAAUUGAAACACAUGUUAAAGUAAACCAGAAUUUUACUGAUAUAAAUGCAUUUACUACUUGGCGUGAUCAGUUAGACCAUCAUGGAUUAUAUAUGAUGCGUAAAUUAAUUAAGAAUUCAUAUAGACAUUCAUUAAAGAACUCCCAUUUGUUGCUUGUUCUCAAUGAAAACUGAUUGUUAGAAACUCACUAGCUAAAGUUGAGAUUUAAUGUCUUGUAUUUCUGAAAUGAAUAUAGGUCCAUUCAUCCACCAUGUGGAUUUUGAAAUUAUAUGAUUUAGGUAGAUGCAUCUACAAAAUAAUCACAUGCGUUAUCAACUCGCAACCUGUCGUUUGUGAGAUUUCUUGUUUAAAUGAUUAAUUUUAGAUUAUGCAAUUAAAACAAUUCAUCUUGCUAAUGUUGGUGAGUUUAUAUCCCAAGCUUUCAAUAAUUAUUGUAUGUCAAUCGGGAAAAAAGUUGAACAUUCCUGUAGCUUAUGUUCACACAAAAAACGAUUUAGCUGAAUCGUUUAUCAAAUGUCUCCAACUAAUAACUAAAUCAUUACUUACGAGAAUAAAACUUCCUAUUUCAGCAUGAGAUUAUAUUGAUUUACAUGUUGUACGCAUCAAGCCAAUAAAUUAUAAAUACUUCCCUUUACAAUUGAUUUUUGGUCAAGAGCCAAAUAUUUCCUAUAUCACAAUUUUUAGAUGUGCGAUAUAUGUUCCAACUGCUCCACCAUGACGCACAAAGAUGGGUCAUCAUAAGAGAUUGGGAAUGUAUAUUUUAUAUGAGUCUCCUUAUAUUAUUAAAUAUUUUUGAGCUAUUAAUUUGAGAUUUAGUUAUGACAUGAGUUGUCAGUUUUCCCAACAUUAGGGGGAGAGAAUAAAAAGCUGGAUUAAUAAAGUACUUGAAAUGAAUUAUCAAAGUCUAAGAUCCUCGUACAAAGCAAUAUGAACCAAAAGUUCAACAGAUAAUUAAUUUUACAAAUCAACUGUCAGAUUCAUUAAAUCUCACAUACCAACUGAAAAUGCUCCAAUAUGAAUUGAUGUCCUAAUAGGGCAAAUUGUUAGUGCAAAAGAAAGUAAUCCACACCUGAAGCGUGGAAGACCGGUCGGUUCCAAAGAUAAAAAUCCUCGUAAAAGAAAAGAAGCAAACAUUCAAGAUAGUCAUGUAGUGGAGACAGGGGUUCUUGAAGAGACCCAUGACAUAACUAAUUAUAAAACUUAAGAAGAGAUUUAGAUACCUAAAAGUGAGAAUGAAAAUGAUCAAAAUAAAGAGAUAUCGAUAAGUUAUGUCAAUACGAGAAAAAGAAGGAACCGAAAAAAAUGUAGUUGUCGACAACAAUUUUGCUUAUAAUGUUGUCAUUGAAAUAACAAAAGGAAAUAAUGAUCCUAAGCCUAAAUUAUUGAGAAAUAUAAAAAUCGAAAAGAAUAGCCAAAAUGGAAUGACGUAAUUUGAGCAAAAUUGAAUUCACUUUCAAAACGUGAGGUUUUUGGACAUGUAUCCCAAACACCUAAAGAUGUAAAGUCGGUAGGAUAUAAAUGGGUAUUUGUGUGAAAACUAAAUGAAAUUGUGAAUUCGUAAGAUAUAAAGCUUGACUUGUAGCAUAAGGAUUUUCAUAAAGGCUCGACAUUUAUUACAAAGCGACAUAUUCUUCUGUGGUAGAUGCAAUCACGUUUAGAUGCCUUAUUAGCUUGGUAGUACGUGAAAAACCUUACAUGCAUCUAAUGGAUAUUGUUACAUACUAUUUGGAUGGUAGACUUGAUAGUGAAAUUAAAAUGAAAAUCUUAUAAGGAUAUAGAGUUUCUUGGGAAAAUUGCUCGAUCAGACUAAAGAAAAGUUUAUAUGGAUUAAAAUAAUAUGGGUGUAUGUGGUACAAUCGUCUUAGUGAAUAUUUGUUGAAAGAAUGUUAUAAAAAUGAUCCAAUUUGUCCAUGUGUUUGUAUAAAAAGGUUUGGAUCGGAUUUUGUGAUAAUUAUUGUUUAUGUUGAUGAUCUUAAUAUUAUUGAAAUUCCUAAAGGGCUUCAAAAUGCAGUAAAUUAUUUAAAUAAAGAAUUUGAGAUGAAAGAUUUUGGAAAAAUAAUGUUUUGUCUUGGCCUGUAAAUUGAACAUUUAAAAUAUGGAAUUUAUGUCCAUCAGUCAAUUUAUACGGAAAAGAUCUUAAAGAAGUUUUACAUGGAUAAAGCAUGUAACAUCCCCACUUUUAAAAAAGAAGAAGAAGAAUAUUUAUGGUAGAAGUUCUUGAAUAAAUGAUCUAUAAAUAAAUAGUAGUAUAAAAAAAAUUGUGAUUGUUUUUAGAGGAAACUGUCAGACAUGAAAACAUAGAGGAUUAUUAGUAGGAGUAUGUGGUUAAUUUAAAAAUUCGGUAUCGAGUUCAGGGAUUAAAUUGAAUAAAUUAGAAAAGUAUAGAGACUAAAGUGCAGUUAUCUUAUUUUAUUUUUUUGGAAAGGACUUAAUGGCAAUUUUUCCAUUACUUAAAAAAAUAAAAAAUCUCAUGAUGGCUUUAAAUGAUAUUUUCAUUAAAUAAUUAUUAUUUAACAUUUUAUUUAAAAUAAUAGUAAUUUAUUAAAUAUUAUAAUAUAUAUAAAGAGAGAAAGAUUAGUUUCUUUCUCAUCUUUCUCACGAAAGGUUGGGAAAAACAAAACAAAACUUCUUCCAUUAUUUUCCUUCAAAUUCAAGUAUCAGGUAUGGUUUUCUUCAAAUUUUUGUUAGAUUUUGAAUUUUUAAAGCUUGCUUUACAUAUAUAUACCAAUAGUUUUUUUUUAUCAAAUAUUUUGAAAGUUGUCAUUAAAGGACAUUGAUGGAACCUUAAAAAAAUUAAGUGAAAUAGAUAUAUUUUUGGAUAGGAAAUAAUUAGAAGAUGAGUUCUAGCUUGUUAGAAGUGUGAAAAAGAAACAAAAAUGGAUGAAAAGUUUAUUUAGUAUAUUUGGCCAUGUUAAAGGGGAAGUAGAGAACAUUGGUCACUUUGUGUGAUAUUGGUGCUAAAUGAUAGCUAGUGAAGUAGUGAGUACUUUAGUGAAGACGGAAUUGAAAAUGGAUAAUCGAGUCGAAAGAUAUGCGAAUUUCAGACUAGGAAACUUAAGUUCCUAACUUGAUUAACCAUGCAUAUUUAAGUUUGUUUUUAUUAGUUUUAGUUUUAGAAUGGAUAAAUGAUGUUGUUUCGUAUUGAAUUGCUCCUAUUGUAGCUAAAAACGAAGCGAACAUCUUGAAGGAGAAAGACGAAGAAAAGGAGUAAAACGAUUAAUACUUCGGUUUGUGCUAAUAUCUUAUUUUCAUUACAUAAAGCUUUACAAUAUAUAGUUUACUAUGACUAGUUAUAUUGAUUUUAUUUUAUUUUAUUUUAUUUUUAUGAGUUUUGGAUGAGUUUGAAUGAUUUAGUUAAUAUUUAUAAAAUUAUGUUUCAAGAUGAAUACUAUGUUUUUCAUAUGAUUAAAUUAGCAAAUUCAUGGUUAUGAUUUGGAUUUGAGUAUUAUGAUUUUAGAUGAUUGAGUAAGAAAAUGAUUAAUAUGUUUUGAAUUGGAAGUCUAGUUUUAUAUUAGGCGAUAUAUGAUUUGAACCUGCAACAGAAUUGAAAUGAGAAUUAUAUGAAAAAGGAAUUGAAAUGGAUCAUGAAAUUUGGUUUUUACCUCGUUUCACUAAGUUAGACUAAAUCAGAUAUAAUUGAAAUAGAGAAUUUAGAUCUCUCCAAUUCCUAGAGUGUCGAGGGAGAAAAGACCAAGUCGGUCAGUUGUUAUUAUUGUUAGCCCCAAUUCCUAGAGGGUCGUGGGCAGUCCCAAUUCCCAGAGGGUCGUGGACUACUCUGAUAGCCAUCGUUGUCGAACAACUCAGGGUGGCGGAUACGUACAUCUGGUUAUGAGUCUAAACUUUAGUACGUGGUCUAAAUUGAAAGAAAAACAAAAACAAAACUUGAAUUUAUUUGAAUUUCCAUAUUGUGCAAAUUAAAUUAAUUAAUGCGAUUUUGAAUUUAAUUAAAAAAUUUAUUUUCGUUAUUUGAUUUGUCAAUAUCAAAAUAUUAAAGUCUAUUAAUAUUAGAAUUUUUUAUUGUGAUGUUAUUAAUGAUAAUUAUAAUCAUGUUUUAGUUUAUUUCUAUCAAUUAAUUUGUAUUCAAUACUUAUGUAAUGAUUUAUAUGAUAUUAGCACCAUUGAGCAUAAAAAUUGCUUAGCGUACGGUUUGUCUAUUUUUCUUUGCGUGGGUAGUUAGAUUCGCUAAAUUGUUGCAGUAGCAUCCGAAGAAUCGAAGUUCAGCUCAAACAAUGUUGGUGAGGAGUUUACUUUAUAGUUGAUGUAAAUGGCAUGUACUCAGGCUUGUAUAUAUAUAAUAUUAUGUCGUAAACUGAAUUUAAAUAUUUUCAUUAUGUUUUCUUUGCUAAUAUUUUAUAACUAAUGUUUUGGAUGAAAUAGUAAAGCGUAGAACUAGGUCGGGUAUAAGGUGUCACAAAGCGCAUCCAUUGAGUACCCCGAUGGUUGUAUGAUCCUUGGAUUGAAUUUGUCCUUGUGAGAAUGAUGAAUAUUUUCUUGGUCUUGAAGCAUCAUAUCUAAAUAACAUUGAUGUAUCUUGCAAACAACACAAGACCUGAUAUAACUUUUGUUGUAAACUUGUUAGCAAGAUUUAGUUAUUCUCCAACACGUAGACAUUGGAAUGGAAUUAAACAUGUAUUCAGAUAUCUCAGAAUGACCAUUAAUAUGAGAUUAUUUUAUUCAAAUGAUUCAAAAUCUUUAUUAGUUGGCUAUGCUAAUGUUGGUUAUUUAUCAAAUCCACAUAAAGGUUGAUCUCAAACGGGACAUUUAUUUGCAUGUGGGGGUACUGUCAUAUCAUGGCGUUCAACAAAGCAAACAUUAGCUGUCGCUUCUUCGAAUCAUACAGAAAUAAAUUGUAAUGCAUGAGGCACGUCGAGAGUGUGUUUGGCUAAGGUUAUUGACCCAACAUAUCCAGAAGAUAUGUAAUUUGCCUUUACAGAAAAAGAUGUCAACUAUCUUAUAUGAAGAUAAUGCAACAUGUAUAGUUCAAUUGAAGGGUAGUUACAUCAAAGGUGACAGAACGAAACAUAUUUUACCAAAAUAAUUCUUCACCCAUGAUCUUGAGAAAAGAUGUGAUAUAAAUGUCCAACAAAUUCAUUCUAAUGAUAAUUUAGCAGAUCUUUUUAUUAAGGCAUUGCCAACUUUAAUAUUUGAAAUACUACUACAAAAGAUUGGAAUACGUCGACUUAAAGAUGUAAUGUAAUGUUGACAUAGGGGGAGUCUAAAAACAAGUUGUACUAUUUUCCUUUAACCAAGGUUUUGUCCCAUUGGAUUUUCCUAGUAAAGGUUUUUAAUGAGGCAGUUUGUAAUAGAAGAUUGUGUACUAUUUUUCCUUCAUUAGGUUUUUAUCCCAUAGAGUUUUUCCUAAUAAGAUUUUAAUGAGGCACAUUAUCUACCAAUGAACAUCCAGGAGAGAGUGUUAUGAAUAUUUUAUUAAGUGAAUGUCCAUCAAGAUCAAGAUAAAUUUUGAUGUACUUUAAAUUCUGAUAGUCAUUAGAAUUAGAUCUCUACUUCAUUUAUACUUCUUAUGCCUAUAAAUAGAGACUUUGAAAAAGUAUUGUAAUCAUCCCAUCUGAUCAAUAAAAUACAUUCUCUAUUGCUUCCCAUAUUUCAUUUGUUCUUUACUAUCUUUAUCUCUCUUUAUUUUAUAAUAAAAACUAAUUAUUUUGUAAUUAAAAGGUCGUAAACAAAAAAAAAUGAAAAAUGAAAAAAAAUAAAUAAUAAAGGGUAAUUUUAUAUUUUUAUUUAAAAUACAUUGUCUAUAACCUUUGGAAUGCAUUUUUCAUCAAACCUGAGUAUUUUUCAAAUGUAUAAAGAUAAAUUUAGUCCGUAAUGUUUAUAUUUUUUUAUUAAAUUCAUCAUCAAAAUUUCAAAAAGAGUAGAAUUGUUGCUUUUUAACAGAAAUAUCGACUAAACGUUAAAAUUUUAAACAUGCCAGCUCAUAUGGCAAUCUAUGCGUACUUCACGUAUUUUUUUAAAUUUUUUAUUCUUUUUAAAUUAUUUCUUAAUGUGACAUGUACGAUAAAUAGUCAUGUCAACAUGAAGUAUACAUGAACUUCCAUGCAUGUUAUCACACUAACAUCGUUAAAAAAUUUUAUGUUUUAGACAAUAUUUCCAUUAAAAAAAUCAAAAUGACACUUUGAAAGCUUAAUGGUCAGUUUUAACUCAAUAAAAAAUAAGAGCUAAAUUAGCAAAAAAAUAUCAACAUUAAAGGCUAAAUCUAUGAUUAUGCAUUCUUCAAACCAUAGUGAUAGUUUAUAUAAUAUGUUUAAGUAGUUCAUAAAUAAUUAAAAAUUAGUAAAACGAAAAAGAAUAGAUUUUUAAAUAAAAAUAAAUAUAUUCAUUAGUUGUAGAAAUGCAGAGUUGUAAAGAGAUUAUAAGAAACCAAGGUUUCACUAAGUAGUUAUAAAUGGUCUGAUUAAAAAAGGGGAGGGGAUAUAUUAAUGUAAUGAAAUGCAAUGAAUUUAUGCCAUUAUGGCUCAAAGCAUGAAUUCUUUCCUGGAAGACAUUAGUGUCAAAGAUAUUUAUAGGGGUAUAGGUUCCAGUUGGAGCUGCAGAAAUUCAGAUACAUGGAAAUGUAUGUACCUGAUGAGUAAUAUCCAACGGUUGGGGAAGAAAGAGCUUAUUCCAGGCAGGGAGGAAAAUGGGGGCAUCUUUCUUCUUUAUGUUAAAAGGGCAAUAACCACAAUUAUUCGAGGCAGGGAGGGAAAUGGGGACCCUUUUGGUUCAAAUCAGUGUUUAUUCAACUAUGAAGCUCCUGCUGAUGUUGUGUUAUAGGAUUUCUUGCUUGCAAACAGAAUCAAAUACAUAAUUGAUUAUGAAGCAACUUUUAAAGCAGGAAUAGAACUUUUUCAAAGUCAUUGCUAAAUGAUGACAUGAUAUACAGAAAUUGGAAAUAUUCUAUCCAUUUCCCAAAUACACCAUGGGUAAUAAAUAGGAUACUAUAUACAUAAUUGUCACCAUCCAUCUACCGAUAUUAAACCCAAGGAGAUUGUUAAGCACUGUCAAGCUUUCAUCUUCUCCCUUGUAACCCAUCAUCUACUGCAUUACAAUCCCAGGCUUUCAAUGUGCCCAGAACGGUUUAGCCGGAGUGCGCUUCAGUGCCUUCACUGCCAAAGGAUUGCCCUUGCUCUGCCAAACAAACAACUGUUAAAAACUUCAAUUGAAACAAAUAGAAUGAAAGGAUUGAUGACUUUGGACUCAAGCGUACCAUCAAGCAGGUGCCUUCAUGUAUGUUGCACACAGGGUAGUCAUGAGGGCAGCAGCUGUAGCGAUCUUCGCAGCAAGUGGCAGCCUCGAGUGGGCAGCAUCCCCAAGCAAAGCAGUAGUUAUAGUACUCGUAUAUGCAGCAGCAGGUAUUGCUCUCGGGACAGGAAUAAUAACUAUCGCACACGGUCGGAGGUUUUAUAGGAGAUGGUGGAGACGGUCCGGGAUUGGGGGGAUUUUCACCUGUUUUGAUCGGAUAAGAGGCUUCCAUCGCGAUCCCACAUUUGCCAGUUACGGUAUUGGCCACAUUCCUUGCCAUCCUGAUAUAGCCUGCUUCUCCCCAGCUGCUUCCCCAUGAGUUCUUUACAAUCCAAUAGUCUUUACCUUUCUCUGUGCCAUAUCCAACAGCAGUGACACCGUGGUCUAGUUGUGUUCCACAUUUUCCAUCAAAUAUACC
This 33980-nucleotide long non-coding RNA is filed under the name Gossypium barbadense (sea-island cotton). RNAcentral describes it as "long non-coding RNA (GBAR_LNC013415)". Lineage: Eukaryota; Viridiplantae; Streptophyta; Magnoliopsida; Malvales; Malvaceae. The record is from RNAcentral.